AGAGUUUGAUCCUGGCUCAGAGUGAACGCUGGCGGCAGGCCUAACACAUGCAAGUCGAACGGCAGCACAGCAGUAGCAAUACUGUGGGUGGCGAGUGGCGGACGGGUGAGGAAUGCGUCGGAAUCUGCCUUUUUGUGGGGGAUAACGUAGGGAAACUUACGCUAAUACCGCAUACGACCUACGGGUGAAAGUGGGGGACCUUCGGGCCUCACGCAGAAAGAUGAGCCGACGCCGGAUUAGCUAGUUGGCGGGGUAAAGGCCCACCAAGGCGACGAUCCGUAGCUGGUCUGAGAGGAUGAUCAGCCACACUGGGACUGAGACACGGCCCAGACUCCUACGGGAGGCAGCAGUGGGGAAUAUUGGACAAUGGGCGCAAGCCUGAUCCAGCCAUGCCGCGUGUGUGAAGAGGGCCUUCGGGUUGUAAAGCACUUUUGUCCGGAAAGAAAAGCUUCGGGUUAAUAACCUGGAGUCAUGACGGUACCGA
Molecule: ribosomal RNA, 484 nt
Filed under: uncultured bacterium
Lineage: Bacteria
Description: bacterial SSU rRNA
Rfam family: Bacterial small subunit ribosomal RNA
Source: RNAcentral